ACUUGAAUUGAAGAGUUUGAUCAUGGCUCAGAUUGAACGCUGGCGGCAGGCUUAACACAUGCAAGUCGAACGGUAGCAGGAGAAAGCUUGCUUUCUUGCUGACGAGUGGCGGACGGGUGAGUAAUGCUUGGGAAUCUGGCUUAUGGAGGGGGAUAACGACGGGAAACUGUCGCUAAUACCGCGUAUUAUCGGAAGAUGAAAGUGCGGGACUGAGAGGCCGCAUGCCAUAGGAUGAGCCCAAGUGGGAUUAGGUAGUGGUGGGGGUAAAAGGCCUACCAAGCCUGCGAUCUCUAGCUGGUCUGAGAGGAUGACCAGCCACACUGGAACUGAGACACGGUCCAGACUCCUACGGGAGGCAGCAGUGGGGAAUAUUGCGCAAUGGGGGGAACCCUGACGCAGCCAUGCCGCGUGAAUGAAGAAGGCCUUAGGGUUGUAAAGUUCUUUCGGGAUUGAGGAAGGUUGAAUGUGUUAAUAGCACAUCAAAAUGACCUUAAAUACAGAAGAAGCACCGGCUAACUCCGUGGCAGCAGCCGCGGUAAAUCCGAAGGGGGCGAGCGUUAAUCGGAAUAACUGGGCGUAAAGGGGAACCAAGCCGUU
This 597-nucleotide ribosomal RNA is filed under the name Haemophilus influenzae 3655. RNAcentral's name for it is "bacterial SSU rRNA". It matches the Rfam family "Bacterial small subunit ribosomal RNA", at positions 1 to 580 of the family's 1533-position model. Lineage: Bacteria; Pseudomonadati; Pseudomonadota; Gammaproteobacteria; Pasteurellales; Pasteurellaceae. The record is from RNAcentral.